GAUGCCCUCAAACUGGGCGGCAACUUGGUCAUCGGUGUGUAAGGACCAUCACUGGGAUGUGAUGAUCGCAUAGCGACCGCCCUAAGUUCCCAACUGCAUCCGCAAGCUGGCUGGUCCCCGCAGGGCGUCCAGGUACACGCUGUGCCAAACUUGCCCGCAGCAACAAGCCAAGGGAAUCGCGUGGGAAAAUGGAAAACAGGCCUGCACGCCUCCGCGGGAAGUUGAUGAUCAGCAGGAACCGAAUCUCCGAAGUCACCCGCAACCCCGCUCAGACUGGCAGUCUAAAAAAGCUCCCCAGCAAAUGGAAGAAUGGAGCCUAUCACCUCGGAUCACCUUUGAAAAUCAUCCGGGUCAUCUGCCCUCUCAGAACAGACUCCUAUUUGGAGAGAAGGGACCUGGAAGUCCUGAGACAUUGCUGGAAACCAUCAAGCUAAAGUAACUCUCAGCCCAGGGAGGAGGCCACAUCCCUACAACAGGGAAUUAGAGAUGCCUGUGUGGCUGGGUGAGACCUGAAGGGCCCCUCAAGCUGCAGGGACAUAAAGAACCCUGAAAUGCCAAAUUUUAGGUAUACAUCUCAGGUGUGCUCACAGAACAGGAACUUUGUGAAGACAAAUGCCCAUGGAGAAAAGAAUGAGACACACAGUUUCCCUGGGCCUGUGUCUUCAACCAAGUCAAGACCAGCAUAGACGCCAUUCCAAAAGUAACCAAGAGACAUCAAUAAUAAACAUUUUCUACCUGUUUUCCAAGGAAAGCUAAAAAGAAAAACCACAGAAAGUUAGUUCUCCUUCUAGUGCCUUCAACACAGCCUGGGCAGGGGUCUGCAUACAGAUCACACGUCUGUACGGCAUGCUCUGUGUACUCUUCAAGUGUAAUAAAUGACAUUUUCCAUUUAGGAAAAAGGCUGUCACGAGGGACUUCAGAGCACAGCCACAGAAAGUCUGUGACCCUCUGGUAAAGCUGAUCUGCCAGGCUGCCUGUCUGUCUGUCUGUCUUCAUGCUCGCUCCUGUUUUUAAAGGACCUGUGAAGAUCUCGGCAUGGUGGAGCAGACUCAAAAUCCGAUCACUUAAGAGGUUGAGGCAUGAGGAUCUCGAGUUCAAGGCCAACCUGGGCUGCAUAGUGAGCGCUGCCUCGCAAGAGUACAUGAGGAUGCCUGGUGCUUUCUCGUCAGUCCCUAAGGGAUGCUCCCGAGAUCUCAUUCCUCUGUCUUUAAUAUACUGCACGCACAAAGUGAAUCGUUGGCCAAGUGAGUCUGUCCAUUUCCAUGUUUCUGUCACUUCUUAGUACAACUGAACAAUAAACUUAUUUUGAAGGAAAUUAGCAAGCAAAAAAAAUAAUAGGACAAUCUAAUACUUUUCACUCAUAAAAUGUCCAGCCUUACUUCCUACCAGGCAAGAUCUUGAGUUGAAAACACUCCAGAUGUCUGCCACUGUGGGGACAAGCUUAAUGUGGGAAUCACUCAGCCAGAGACAUACGCAUUCUCAAUCAGUAUUACACAGUCUCAAGGGAGCAAACUUCAAUGGGACAGGGGACAGGAAAUGGAUCUGUGCUCCUCCACCAUCAAUUCUGGGGUGCUAGUGAUCACGCCUAAGUUUCUGAGUGAAAUGAAUCUGAAAUAAUUUUUAUGCACAAACACUACACAAGCAGAUGAGACAGGUAUUAUAUAUUCGGUACUACAGUCCCACGGGCUUCAUUUUGCAACCACUUGGGCUACUGUGAAAAACACAACAGAGACUGACAAGUGUUAGUGAGGAUGUGAAGGCAAAGGGGGAGAGAGCCCUUGUGCGUGGCCGGUGGGGAUGUCAUGAUGUCAAGGGCAUCAAGGGCACGGCCACUGGGGGGAAAAACAGUAAGGAAGUGUCUCAAACUCAAACGCUUAAAAAUAGAAUCAACGUGUGACUCAGCAACCCCAAUUCUGGAUGGAGCAAAAGGUCGGAAGGCACCCGCAUUCGGAGUAGGCUUAGUCAGAACAGCCAACCCAGACAGCCGUGGAUACACAAAAUCCAAUGUGCAUCCAUUCACCCUUUAAGAAAGGACAUUUGGGAGCUGGAGAGAUGAAUUAGUGUGGCUAAGAAAAUGCAAAGGACCCAGAAGAGGCUCCCAGCACCACCCAUAGCAGGUGAUUCUCAACUCCAUGUAACUCCAGCUCCAGGAGGAUCUGAUGUCUCUGGCUACAAGGACAGCUGCACAUGUGCACAUACACACACACAUACACACACACACACACAUACACACACACACACACGCACGCACGCACGCACGCACGCACACAUGCACAAAUCUUCUUUUAAAGAAAAAAAGCAUGAUGGUGCAUGCCUUUAACCCCAGUCCUGGGAAGGCAGAAGCAGACCUCUCUACAUUCAAGGCCAAGUGUGCACCGAUUUCUCGUCUUCAUUUUUAACAACUGCCUCUGGAUGCUAAGCUCACCUGCUAAUGAAGGGCCGGAUGUUGUCCCCAGAGAUGGGUGCCAUGGACAUGGGCAUGGGCUCUGGCGUGGACAGCCAGUAAGAGUAGUCGUUCCUGGAGGCGAAGUUGCAGACGUUGUUGAUGUUGCAGAAGAGAAAGGGCAUGGUGCUGAACUUACGCAGGCAGCUGCCAGCCGUACCUGAUCAGGAGAGAACACAGCAGGAAGUGAGAACCUGCACUCUGGUCCACACAGUCUGGGAACGGCACCAGUAAGCUGGGAUGCUGGCAAGUGAUUGGCAGAUUAGAUUUCAACUGAUCAGGUAAUAAGGAAACUAUAAAGAGCAACACAGAUGUGUUUGAGGCAAGGAAAACAUGCCAACAGAGUGUGCCAACAGAAGGUAGCCUGUCCCAGGAGGAAUGUCUGGUGCAUGACUGUAGGUCUCCCAGCCUCUGUGCUUCUGAUUUUACUCGGUUACAUCAGCAAUGUACACAACCCUAGGGCAACACUUGGUGGAGGGUCCCUGGAGCAGAUAAAAAUAGUGGGCGUAUGCAUGUGGCUUCCUGUUGCAUCAAAAGAACUCGGCGGGAGGGAGGGGGCAGUCCAGAAGAUGCAGAGAGCCUCUGUCAGAAUAACAUGGCGUAUUUCUAGAAGAGCCGACAGUAAGCAGCCCGAUUUUAAGAACAUUGCACAAAUUGCUACGUGUGCCACAGCAGGACCCUCAACUGUACUUAAUAACUAGAGUGAGAUCUUAAGUUUUACAAGUUUAAAAACGUCUAAGGACCAAGCCCUCAUAGACCAUGCUUCUCACAAGACAUAUAGAAGCUGUUGAACUGAGGGGUCAGCAUGUGGGGGGUGAAAGGAGAUUUGACAAACCCUCGCCAAAAGACACUGCCUACCCAGCCCACCACACUGUAGCAAAUAGAAAAGGAUGCCAUAUUCCUAAUUAGGAGCCCACUAUAUGCCACACAGGAAAAGAACUGCAUCUUACCCAAGUCCUGCCCGUGGGCACGCUCGUUGCCUUGGACAUAGAGCAGAGAGUAUCCAUGGUAAAGAAUUUUGGUCCCUGGGGGACACAGUGGGUCAUCUGUUGUCUGACUAUGCCUGGUCACAAGGAAGCCAUGGUCCACAGAUGGGGUACCUGGGGGACCCAUGGAUCCUGGCAGCCCAUCGGGGCCUGGUGGGCCAGGAAACCCUCUUGGACCUGUGGGAGAGAAGGUAAAUGCGCACCUUAUUACCUACCAUCUGGCUCCCUCCAAAGUCCCUGCUCCCGGCUCCAAGGAACUGCAGCUAGCUGCUCUGCCCCAAAGUAGCAGAAGUCUCUGACCUUUCACUGCACGAAACUAAGGUUGUGGAAAGGGCAAAACUAAGUCCUCGCAGGCCUCCACAUCACACCUUUGCAUAGCUUUAUGAGCCCAGAGUGCAGCAGGAGACAACCUCUUCUGUGAAUAACAGAGUAGCCUAUACUGCAAGUGCAGUGCUCCAUUCAUAAGGAAUCCUGGGCUGCUCAGAGGGGAGAGCGAGCACUACAGAAUCCAUGCAACAGCUUUACUCUCAUCCAACAGCCUGAGCAUGAAGGAAGUCCUCAGAUAACUGGAUCGUGCAUUCCCUCGGAUGGCUGAAGCACAUGCCGCCCCAGGUCUGCAGAGCUGUGCUCUUUGCACAGGGACACCACAGUGGGACAGUCCCUGCUUCCCACGAGGGCCCGUGAAGAUUAUUCCACACCAGUGGCCUCGGGACAAACACUGACAUUAUUAUUUUCCACUUCUAUUUUCCACUAGCUGUGGCUAAAACAGAAUUUUUGUAGCUGUGGGAUGCUGUGCUGCUACGAAUCCACAGGGGCCCACCCCACCGCCUUGGCUACUCUGGAAAGCACACACCUUAACCGAUCAACAACAGCAACCCUCAGCUCCCUCAGGAGCCUCUCUCUUCUAAGACAUGGACUACCUUGGUACCCUGUCAGAACUAUUUUUAACUUCCUUUUGAGGUUCCUCAGGCCUGGGUCUAUUGUUUCUGCUGUAAAGACCUACCAGGUGGUCCAAAGGGUCCUGUCUCUCCUUUCUGGCCAGGAGCACCAUCGAACCCAGGGACACCUGGAGGUCCAGGCAAGCCCACUGAGCCUGUCACACCUACAGGAAAGGAAGAAGACUUUGUGAUCUGGUCUGGUGGGCAGCAAACUGGCCCUCUUUCUCCCCUUCUCCAGGGAAGCAAGCGUAGGGCCCAGACUGCUGAUAUGUCUGAGAGACCUAUGGAUCCUGGUAGCCCGUCAGGGCCUGGUAGACCCAGUUGCUUCUUGCAGAGCCCAGGACUCCCCUUUUGGAGUCUCAGAUGACACACUGUUUAUAAGGGGUAUUGCCCCAACCCUGUCCCUCAGACUGUCCCCUGAGCUCUCCCAAGCUUUUUGCAGGUGCUAUGUGACAGCCAGACCUGGAAAGGGUCAAGUAAGGGAGACGGGGAGAGAGGUCUGUCUGGCCUCCCUCCUUGCUGUGCUUUUGAGCAGUGGUUCUCAAAUUGUGGGUCACAAUCCCCACAGGGGUCACACAUCAGACAUCCUGCAUGUCAGAUAUUUACAUUAUGAUUUAUAACAUUAGCAAAAUUACAGCUAUGAAGUAAGAAUGAAGUAACUUUAUGGUUGGUGGUCAUUACAACAUGAGGAACUGAAUUAAAGGGUCACAGCAUUAGGAAGGUUGAGAGCCACUAGUCUAGAGUCUCAGUGUUCAAGCCAUGGGCAGGCUGUGGUGACCGUUUCCACACGCACAGUUAACUCAUAAGCAGCUUGAAGCUUAACAUUUCUUGGUUGCUGUUUCCAAUCCCCCAGCUUUCUCUCAGCCCCUUUCCCACCAGCUCCUGAGAGAGGAAUGGCAGAGAAUAGCAAGGGCCUAGAGGAGGGUGUGCUGGAAACACAGGGAAGGAGCCACAGGGCCUUUGCUCAUAGACAGAACAACUCAUGAGCCCUGUAUAUGAGUGGCAAUCCCAGCAGCCCAUGGGAACCUGUGCUCCACUCUGCCAGCUGCCCUGCCAAGCAAGGCAGGGUCGGAUGUUUCUAAGUCUAACUGUGUUGAGUUGUAAGCCUCUGGUCUUCUUGUAUUUUACUUGCCAUUUAGAGUCGGUGGGGGGCGGGGGGUUGUCUUCCAAAAACUUUAUUAUGUCUGGUGUACUUUAAACAAAUUCCACAUUCAAAUAUAAAUGUGUUUGUAUAGUCAACCGCUGUUCAGACUCUGGGCUUAGACACAUAGGUGAUAGGAAACCCGCCCACAUACCCAGGCACCUACACAACCCCACAUGCACACCCAGGCACCUACACAACCCAAGGACUCACCUUGCUGUCCUUUUGGACCUGGUGGUCCCUGGAGUCCUUUAAGACCAGGGGGACCCUCAGGACCAGGGAGCCCUGGUUCUCCUUUGAUGACAUCGUAGGGACCUGGAGGCCCAGGGGGACCUUGGAGACCUGUGGGAAUGACAGGCAGAGGAUCGGCUUCACUGUCAGCAGCCACUGUACCAUCACCAAACACACCAUCACAGAGCCUCAUCAAAUGCACAGGUGAUGUGUGCUACAUCCUUCUUGUUUAACUAAGCCAAAAAUCCUGCCCUCCCAACUCCAUUCUGGAAACCAACAGCUGCCACCUGCCCUUCCUCUCCUGAAGAUGCCCGUGGGCACAGCAAACGCCACCCAGAGUCAUUGUGAGCAGUGGAAGGCAGAUUUUCUUCUGUUCCAACUCUAAGUGGCUGGUGUCGGUCUGAUGUCAAAGCCUGUGCAACAUGCUGGAUCCCCAACACGAAGGUUCCUCUCGCCCCCCUCUCUUCUCCCCUGGACUUGCCGAGUCACACACCAGACAACUCCACUAUCAAGACAGGCUGAUGCCAAAACUUCCAACAAGAGUUCCUAAUCUCUGUUUUCUACUGAUGUUUCCAUUCAUCUGACAUCCCUCCAAUCCCACGUGUUUGGUAGCUUCUGCAUCUGCCCAGAACAUUGAUAAAGCCUGGUGCAUUAACAAUUCACCUGCCAGAGACUGCCCUACCUGGGAAUCCAUCCCAUAUACAGUCAACAAUCCCAGACACUAUUGUGGAUGCCAAUAAGUGCUUGCUGACAGGGCCUGAUAUAGCUCUGUCACUGCCUGACAAAUACAGAGGUAGAUGCUCACAGCCAACCAUUGGACUGAGCAGAAGGUCCCCAAUGGAGGAGAUAGAGAAAGGACUGAAGAAGCUGAAGGAGCUUGCAGUCCCAUAGGAGGAACAACAAUAUGAACCAACCAGUACCCCCCGCCCAGAGCUCCCAGGGACUAAACCACCAACCAAAGAGUACACAUGGAAAAACCCAUGGCUCCAGCUGCAUAUGUAGCAGAGGACAGCCUUGUUAGACAUCAAUGGGAGGAGAGGCCCUUGAUCCUGUGAAGGCUCGAUGCCCCAGUGUAGGGGAAUGCCAGAACAGGGAAGUGGGAGUGGAUGAGGGAGAAUAGGGGGUUUUCAGAGGACAAACCAGGAAAGGGGAUAAUGUUUGAAAUGUAAAGAAAAUAUCUAAUAAGAAACAAAACAAACAAAUAAAACCAAUUCACCUAC
Molecule: long non-coding RNA, 6959 nt
Organism: Mus musculus (house mouse)
Lineage: Eukaryota; Metazoa; Chordata; Mammalia; Rodentia; Muridae
Product: predicted gene 15418
Exons: 3
Source: RefSeq, a predicted model, not a curated record